GUUAGCUGAAGUAAUAGCCUAUUCAAGUGGAACUACCUUAAGAGAAUGCCUUGACUGAAACCCACAAAAAAGAACUAGUUCCUUCACUGCUCUGCAGGGGGAUGGAGCAGACAGCUGGAAAACCUCAGAAGCAAAAUUAAAGAACCAGGAAUUUGUGGUGGGAUAUACAAAGUCAAGCAAUUCACAGUAAGCUUUGGGUUAGAGGAAAAGAAAAAAAAAAAAAAAAAAAAAAAAAAAAAAAAAAAAAAAAAAAGGAGAAAUGCAGGAUUUUAUAGAUGAGGUUUUGAUUAACAGUGGGACUAACCAAGCUCAAAAGAAGUUAGUCUGGAUGCAGUUCAGAAGCACCACAGUCGCACUUAGCCAACUGGUCAGAUUGAUAGGCAGCUCCAGGGAGUGAUUCAGCCCAACUAAGAUCUGAUUCACCCUCUGGAAGUGCCAAGCUUUUGAUUUAAAUCUUAGGUACAACUGACUCACUUCCCUGAAGGUGCCUUUCUCCAAAGGCUGUAGAGGACCCACAGCACAUCAGGGGCUAAAAUCCAGCUGGAAGAACUGGGUCUGGCCAUGACUGUUUCAUUGCCACCUGCCUGCCCUGAAGAGCUUAGUGAGAAGCCAUGUCACCCACGUGAUGGGACUCUGGGAAAGGAUAUGCAUAGGCGCCAAACAAGAGAAAAUGGUUCUUUUCCAUGAGAACCAGAUGGAGCCUGCGGCACACUUGUCCUCAAGAAACCAGAGCAAGGAGGGGAAGGUGCCCAGAAUCCACAUCACCUGGGACUGGAGAUUCAAAUUUUCCUCUGCCUUGUUCGUCUGUCUGGCUACAUCUAAAGUCCAGCCACAGAUUUAAGAAGAGCAUCUCUGCUGAACUACAUGGCUCAGACUACACAUUGUUUAGAAAGAAGAGCAAGAAACAAGUGGAAUAUGUAGGUUAUAUCCACCUGCCACUGUAA
RNAcentral lists this long non-coding RNA (944 nucleotides) under Anas platyrhynchos platyrhynchos (common mallard). RNAcentral describes it as "lncRNA (ENSAPLG00000021567.1)". Lineage: Eukaryota; Metazoa; Chordata; Aves; Anseriformes; Anatidae. The record is from RNAcentral.